This 517-nucleotide ribosomal RNA is filed under the name uncultured bacterium. RNAcentral describes it as "bacterial SSU rRNA". It matches the Rfam family "Bacterial small subunit ribosomal RNA", at positions 1 to 520 of the family's 1533-position model. The record is from RNAcentral.
GGAUCCAGACUUUGAUUCUGGCUCAGGACGAACGCUGGCGGCGCGCCUAACACAUGCAAGUCGAGCGGGAAGCUUUUUAAGGAUUCUUCGGAUGAAUUAAAAAGUGGAGAGCGGCGGACGGGUGAGUAACGCGUGAGAAACCUGCCCUAUACAGGGGGAUAGCCAUUGGAAACGAUGAUUAAUACCCCAUAUGACCACGGUAUCGCAUGAUACAGCGGUGAAAACUCCGGUGGUAUAGGAUGGUCUCGCGUCUGAUUAGCUAGUUGGUGGGGUAACGGCCUACCAAGGCGACGAUCAGUAGCCGGCCUGAGAGGGUGACCGGCCACACUGGAACUGAGACACGGUCCAGACUCCUACGGGAGGCAGCAGUGGGGAAUAUUGCACAAUGGGCGAAAGCCUGAUGCAGCGACGCCGCGUGAACGAUGAAGGCUUUCGAGUCGUAAAGUUCUGUUCUUGGGGAAGAUAACGACGGUACCCAAGGAGAAAGCACCGGCUAAAUACGUGCCAGCAGCCGCGG